This 3338-nucleotide long non-coding RNA is filed under the name Lathyrus oleraceus (garden pea). RNAcentral describes it as "Pisum sativum (pea) long non-coding RNA (PSAT_LNC019895)". The record is from RNAcentral. Lineage: Eukaryota; Viridiplantae; Streptophyta; Magnoliopsida; Fabales; Fabaceae.
GGAAAGAGAUGUGGGUCAAUAUUGACACAUUUAAAUACCAAGUCUUUCCUUAGCCAGAACUUACCGAGACACACUUUCUCAAUACUACAAUUUAAUUCUAAUAAUAAUAAUUCUUUUAUGAUGUAGAAGAUCAUACAAUGUUGCAACCACAUAAUAUACUAAGAACUUUCUUAUGAGUACAACACCAUAGUAUCCUAAAGCUCAGACAAUGAUUUGAUAUGACUCUCAAAAAAUGACCUCCAUAUUUUCCCUCCUCUAUGAUCUCAAAAUUAGGCACUAGCAAAAACGUGAAAUAUAAGUUGAAUGACACAAAAAGAAUUUUAGCGUGGAAAACCUUUUCCAAUGUGAGCAAGGUAAAAAACCACGAGACCUUUAAACCUCUUAAACUUCCACUAUAAUGAUAAUGUGAAUACACUAACUUUACCCUUGGGUGGAUAUCACUACAAUGUAUCUCUCAAUUUCUAAGGAACACUCUCACAAAUUAGCUCAAUAUUUCUCUCACAAAAAAAACUCUAUGAUGAUUACUUUUCUCUCUUGAGAAAGACUCUCUUGCUCUCUUCCUUCUUGUUGUUGUUUUUCUCCGGUGGUUGUGUUUUGAAUGCUUUGCUCAUGGUCCUAUUUAUAUUAAAACAAGUCAAUGGUACCUUACAUGCAUGAAGACACUUGGUAUUUGCCUUUCAUGUAAAGCACCAAGUGUCCCUUGCAAAACAUGCAUCAUAGCAUGUGUUAUUCAUGCACUACAUUAUCUACACACCACAAACCUUGCUACAUGUCAUCACAUGUAAUCUUCUACUUUUGCCAAAUAUCUAUUGACCAUGUGACAAUGACUGGACCCCACAUGUAGAACAAUAUUUAAGUGUCAAGCUUUCUUAUAAAAGGAGUUACGCGUGGAGUCAUGAUGAACCUACAGAUAAAAUUUUGUAGGUUGAAGAUGAAGAUAAAGUGAUGAAAAAUUGAGUAGCAUUGACGAUUAAAACUCACAUUGUGGUAGAAGAAGAGAGUGCUCAAAGUUAACGUCAAAGAUACAAGGAUGAAGAAGAUUAGUGUAUUCACAAUAAUGAAGGGAAAAAAAAGAAUCUCUUCAAUGAAAAGGGGAAAAAAUAAGCAACCAAAAAUUAAUUAAUAUUAAAUUAAUUAUAAUUAAAUUGUAACAAACUCACCAAGAGAGUAUCUGAUAGCACAUUACGGAGAAGCAUGUGGAGUAAAAUAGAAUAUAUAUAGUUAAAUUGAAAUACUCACUAUUUUAUUGUCUAUGUGAUCAAUUAUAGUAAAUACAUCCUAGUAAGAUAACUCUGCGCGGGUAAAUUUAUUUGAUACAAUAUUAAAUAUAUUUAGACAUGUAUCUAAAUUUGAAGUUAACUAUUAAUUUUAAAAUGAACAAUGAUUAUAUAAAUUCAAUUGUAUUAAAAUAUAAUAAAAAGGGACACGUGAGAUAAAAAAAGAAUAUUUAAUAUUUGAAGAUAAAGAUUUUAUCUUUUAAAGAUUAAGGUAAUUGUUGAUUAAAAUAAAAUAUGUAUUGUGUUGAUAGUAGUCCGUGAAAUAUAAAGUUUAUUUGAUACAAUAUAAAAUACAUUUAUUUAUGAAUGUAAAUUUAAAAUGAGUUAUUUAAUUGUAAAAUAAAAAUUAAUCAUAUAAACUCAAUUCUAUUAAAUAAUCAUGUUAAAAGAAGAAGAAAAUGACUCGUGAGAAAAAGAAAGAUUUUUUUUUUUGAUAUUUUGAAAUAAGAAUUAUCUUUUAAAUUAAGACAAAUUGUUAAAUAAAAUAAAAUAGACAUUAUGUUGAUAAAAAAUUAUUUGAUACGAUAUGAUACACAUGCAAAAUUUGAAAUAAUUUACUUAAUUUUAAAAUAAACAUUAACCAUAUAAAUUUAAUUGUAUUAAAUAAUCAUAAAUAAACAAUGAAAUGGAGAAAGAAAACAAAAUUAAUAUUUAUGAAUAAAGAUUUUGUCUCUCAAAUUAAGGAAAUAGUUGAUUAAAAUAAAAUAGAUAUUGUGUUGAUAGUGACACGUGAAAUAAAAUAAAUUAUUAAUUUUAUUAAAAUUAAAAAAUAGAUUAUUAAUAUUUUUAGUGGUAAUAAUUAAAUAAAGAAAAAAAAUAAAAUGAAAGUGAGAAAGUGUUUGAAAAAGAAAGGUGAGAAAGAUUUAAAAUUUUAAUUAAAAAAGAGAAUGAAUGAAUGUAAUAUUUAACUGUGAUUUAAUUGAUGAAGGUUGAAAAGUGAAUGUCACAUAGAAGAUAUGAGAAUGUAAAAGAUAAAUAUUAUUUGAUUACUUAAAUAUCUUCUUAUUAGCAUAAAUAAUUUAUAAUGAAAGGACAAUUUUAAAAUCUCAUACAAUUGAUUUUUAAUUUUUUAAUGGAUUGAUAAUUCGUAGUUGAUAGCAUUUAUAAUUUUCAUUUCUCUUUUAUGGAUACAUAUAGUAACAACGUUAGUUUAAAUGAUCAGAAGAUUUGUUUAUUUAGUUCUUACAAUUAAUCUUUAACAAGAACUAAUAUAUAUUCAUUUUAUAACACAUGUUGUUUUUAUGAAAAAUAAACUAUUACUUUAAUAAUACUAUUAAUUUUAGUUGUAAAAGUUUGGUAUUAAAUGGAAAAUUUUACCAAACAGUUUCUCUAUAUCACAAGAAAACUAAGUUUAGUUCACAAAGCCAUAGACAAAUAUGAUAAAUUAAAAAAGAUACAUGGUAGAAUCAAGUUAUUAUUUUUUGUCAUAUUUGAAUUUAUUACCAUCAAUUUAUAAUGCAAAUUCAUAACUACAAUAUUUAUUAGCAUACAAACUACUUCAUCGGUUUUUUAUUAUAAAUCAUUUUUAAUUUUUCACAUAUAUUAAAAAAUAUAAUAAUUAUGAUAUAAAAAAGAUAAAUUAUAAAAGAUUUUAUAAAAUUAUCUUUUAUUAAUAAUAUUAAAAAAAUAAAUUGAAAUAAUUAAAAUGAGAGAAUCAUUCGUUGAUAUUAUAAAACGACUUAUAUUUUGAUAUAAAAUAUUUCUUCAAAAUGACUUACCAUAGAAAAACGGAGGUAGGAAAUGAUUGCUCAAAUAUUUUAGCUUAAAGUUUAUGGUCUCUCUUGGAUUUGGUUCUCAAACAAAUAACAUUUACACAUUUUCUCAAAACAAUAUGCUUUAAAAGGAGGCUUGCAUAGGUCAUCUGAACAAUCAAAGUGUGUCUCACAAUAUUUUAGCCAAUUAUAUGCUUUCCCACCCUCAAUACUUAUUACAAAAAGAAAUAAAAGAAGAAAGAUAAUUCUAACACAAAUAAACUUAAUAACUUCAACCAUAUUUUCCUCUCCAAUUGCAGAAAUAAAAUCAAAUGUGCUUUUUUAUCACUUUAUAAUAACUUAAGUAUUU